AACGAACGCUGGCGGCAUGCCUAACACAUGCAAGUCGAACGGGAUCCGGCCUUCGGGCCGGUGAGAGUGGCGGACGGGUGAGUAACGCGUGGGAACCUGCCCAUUGGUCUGGGAUAACUGCGGGAAACUGCAGCUAAUACCGGAUGUACCCGCGAGGGGAAAGAUUUAUCGCCGAUGGAGGGGCCCGCGUCAGAUUAGGUAGUUGGUGAGGUAACGGCUCACCAAGCCUACGAUCUGUAGCUGGUCUGAGAGGAUGAUCAGCCACACUGGGACUGAGAUACGGCCCAGACUCCUACGGGAGGCAGCAGUGGGGAAUAUUGGACAAUGGGGGCAACCCUGAUCCAGCAAUGCCGCGUGAGUGAUGAAGGCCUUAGGGUUGUAAAGCUCUUUUGCCAGGGACGAUGAUGACGGUACCUGGAGAAUAAGCUCCGGCUAACUCCGUG
Molecule: ribosomal RNA, 443 nt
Filed under: uncultured bacterium
Lineage: Bacteria
Description: bacterial SSU rRNA
Rfam family: Bacterial small subunit ribosomal RNA
Source: RNAcentral